CAUUCAGUAGCCUAGCUACUGGCAUGGGGAUUGUUAGCCUGCAUGGUAUCACUACCGAUGAGCAGCAGAUCCCCUGUUUCUACCCUUGUUUUUCGCGUACCUAUUGUUUCCUCGGCGGGCUUGCUCGCCGGUUGGACAAAACUUUAACCUUUUUUAACUUCAAUCAGCGUCUGAAUUAUACAUAAUAAUUA
This 191-nucleotide unclassified non-coding RNA is filed under the name uncultured Stagonospora. RNAcentral describes it as "sequence contains ITS1". The record is from RNAcentral. Lineage: Eukaryota; Fungi; Ascomycota; Dothideomycetes; Pleosporales; Pleosporaceae.